CCUGGAAUCGUCUAGCGGUUAGGACACCAGGUUCUGACACUCUCAUGCGCCGACGUGGGAGGGAUGAUCUCCUGGUAACCUGGGUUCAAACCCCAGUUCCAGGU
Molecule: transfer RNA, 104 nt
Organism: Puccinia sorghi
Lineage: Eukaryota; Fungi; Basidiomycota; Pucciniomycetes; Pucciniales; Pucciniaceae
Rfam family: tRNA
About the family: Transfer RNA (tRNA) molecules are approximately 80 nucleotides in length. Their secondary structure includes four short double-helical elements and three loops (D, anti-codon, and T loops). Further hydrogen bonds mediate the characteristic L-shaped molecular structure. tRNAs have two regions of fundamental functional importance: the anti-codon, which is responsible for specific mRNA codon recognition, and the 3' end, to which the tRNAs corresponding amino acid is attached (by aminoacyl-tRNA synthetases). tRNAs cope with the degeneracy of the genetic code in two manners: having more than one tRNA (with a specific anti-codon) for a particular amino acid; and 'wobble' base-pairing, i.e. permitting non-standard base-pairing at the 3rd anti-codon position.
Source: Rfam